Molecule: ribosomal RNA, 253 nt
Filed under: uncultured bacterium
Lineage: Bacteria
Description: partial 16S ribosomal RNA
Rfam family: Bacterial small subunit ribosomal RNA
Source: RNAcentral
UCCGAAGGGGGCUACCGUUGUUCGGAUUUACUGGGCGUAAAGCGCGUGUAGGCGGGUCGUUAAGUUGGGGGUGAAAUCCCGAGGCUCAACCUCGGAACUGCCUUCAAAACUGGCGACCUGGACUCAAGCAGAGGCAAGUGGAAUUGCGAGUGUAGAGGUGAAAUUCGUAGAUAUUCGCAGGAACACCAGUGGCGAAGGCGACUUGCUGGGCUUGUAGUGACGCUGAGACGCGAAAGCGUGGGGAGAAAACAGG